GCUUCCAUCGUCCAACGGCCAGGACGCCUGAUUGUCGAUCAGGGAAUGCAGGUUCGAUUCCUGCUGGAAGCGCCA
RNAcentral lists this transfer RNA (75 nucleotides) under Planctomycetota bacterium. Its description in RNAcentral is "tRNA-Asp". It matches the Rfam family "tRNA". From Rfam's summary of the family: Transfer RNA (tRNA) molecules are approximately 80 nucleotides in length. Their secondary structure includes four short double-helical elements and three loops (D, anti-codon, and T loops). The record is from RNAcentral. Lineage: Bacteria; Pseudomonadati; Planctomycetota.